CUGAGUGGGUGUGGGCUGUGGAGCGGAGUCUCUGCGGGCAGGCGAGCGGGCUGGGUGGUUUCCCGCAGGCGGCCGGCGUGUCGUAGUCUGUGGUCAUGAAGAAGGGGAACAGUCACCCGUGCUGCGGUCUCAUGGCCGAGGACAGAGGUAUCAGUUUUGAUCCUUGGCCUCCAUGCUGAACAGUGACUUCUGAUCCUGAGCCUACUUGUGCAUGCAUAUGUAUUGUUUAGAUAAUACUCAUGUGACAACUGGGCACUGGAUAUGAUAGAUGACUGAAGAGACCGUUGGAGGGUACCUACACUUUGACCAUAAACCACUUUGACGAUGUGGAGAA
This is a long non-coding RNA of Ochotona princeps (American pika), 334 nucleotides long. RefSeq lists it as uncharacterized. The record is from RefSeq and is a predicted model, not a curated record. NCBI's taxonomy places the organism in Eukaryota, Metazoa, Chordata, Mammalia, Lagomorpha, Ochotonidae. The transcript has 3 exons.